CCUACGGGAGGCAGCAGUGGGGAAUAUUGGACAAUGGGGGCAACCCUGAUCCAGCCAUGCCGCGUGUGUGAAGAAGGCCCUCGGGUUGUAAAGCACUUUCAGUGAGGAAGAACGCCUGGUGGUUAAUACCCAUCAGGAAAGACAUCACUCACAGAAGAAGCACCGGCUAACUCCGUGCCAGCAGCCGCGGUAAUACGGAGGGUGCGAGCGUUAAUCGGAAUUACUGGGCGUAAAGCGCGCGUAGGUGGCUUGAUAAGCCGGUUGUGAAAGCCCCGGGCUCAACCUGGGAACGGCAUCCGGAACUGUCAAGCUUGAGUGCAGGAGAGGAAGGUAGAAUUCCCGGUGUAGCGGUGAAAUGCGUAGAGAUCGGGAGGAAUACCAGUGGCGAAGGCGGCCUUCUGGACUGACACUGACACUGAGGUGCGAAAGCGUGGGUAGCAAACAGGAUUAGAUACCCUUGUAGUC
This 465-nucleotide ribosomal RNA is filed under the name Vreelandella stevensii. Its description in RNAcentral is "partial 16S ribosomal RNA". It matches the Rfam family "Bacterial small subunit ribosomal RNA", at positions 338 to 795 of the family's 1533-position model. The record is from RNAcentral. Lineage: Bacteria; Pseudomonadati; Pseudomonadota; Gammaproteobacteria; Oceanospirillales; Halomonadaceae.